This 253-nucleotide ribosomal RNA is filed under the name uncultured bacterium. Its description in RNAcentral is "partial 16S ribosomal RNA". It matches the Rfam family "Bacterial small subunit ribosomal RNA", at positions 524 to 776 of the family's 1533-position model. The record is from RNAcentral.
UACGUAGGGGGCUAGCGUUGUCCGGAAUCAUUGGGCGUAAAGAGCUCGUAGGCGGCUCGUCGCGUCGACCGUGAAAACCCGCAGCUUAACUGCGGGCUUGCGGUUGAUACGGGCGGGCUAGAGUUCGGUAGGGGAGACUGGAAUUCCUGGUGUAGCGGUGAAAUGCGCAGAUAUCAGGAGGAACACCGGUGGCGAAGGCGGGUCUCUGGGCCGAUACUGACGCUGAGGAGCGAAAGCGUGGGGAGCGAACAGG